UACAGAGGGUGCAAGCGUUGUUCGGAAUCAUUGGGCGUAAAGCGCGUGUAGGUGGCCAUCUAAGUCUGGUGUGAAAGCCCAGGGCUUAACCCUGGAAGUGCACUGGAUACUGGGUGGCUAGAGGACGAGAGAGGAUAAUGGAAUUAAUGGUGUAGGGGUGAAAUCCGUAGAUAUCAUUAGGAACAUCUGUGGCGAAGGCGAUUAUCUGGCUCGUUUCUGACACUGAGACGCGAAAGCGUGGGGAGCAAACAGG
Molecule: ribosomal RNA, 253 nt
Filed under: uncultured bacterium
Lineage: Bacteria
Description: partial 16S ribosomal RNA
Rfam family: Bacterial small subunit ribosomal RNA
Source: RNAcentral